AGCAGAGUAGAAUGCAAUGCGUAAAGUGCUUCUUGUACAGGGAGUUGACAAGAAGACGAAGAGGUAAAACUUGCGAUAUUGUAUUCGCAUCCCGCUGCU
Regulatory RNA element from Firmicutes bacterium CAG:536, 99 nucleotides. It matches the Rfam family "THF (Tetrahydrofolate) riboswitch aptamer". From Rfam's summary of the family: THF riboswitch presents a pseudoknot that joins P1-P2 and the loop of P3 and two THF binding. The record is from Rfam. NCBI's taxonomy places the organism in Bacteria, Bacillati, Bacillota.